AGAAAACAUUGGAAAUCAGUUAGAAGCUCUCUGGUGACACUGCCCCCUGCUGGUUACCAGGAAGAUGGAUCAUCUGAACCCAGAAUGGGACUGAGGCUUGUGACUGCUGUGAGUAAGCAACUGGACUCUGUAAGAAUGUCAAGACUAAAUGUUAAGAAUCUAGGCCCCUUGGCUUCUGCGAGGACAUCAAUAAGGUUCUACAAAUCAUGCAAAGCAAAGGAAACUGACUCCAAUAUGCAUCCAACACGUGACCAUUUCAAGACUUCAUAAAAAUUUAAAUAGAUGUGCAGAAGGGCAAGAUCUACUCCACCUUUGAAACCUAUGAACUGCUGUGAUUUGAUUUUUUUUUCAACAAACAAGGGAAACAUUUAUGAAACAGAAAAAAUUACUUUGGAAAACAUUCUCAUGAGAGGAUGUGUCUCAUUAAUUAGGGAGACGGAAAGGGUGGAGAGAAAUAAGGUGGGCCGGGCUUGGAAUAGCAUGGACUUGGCUUCCCAUAUUUGCAGGUUCUGUAUUUACAGAUCCAACUAAUCCUGGAUCCAAAUGAAAAAAAAAAUAACAUCUGUGUUGACCACGUGCAGAUUUCUUUUCUUGUCAUUAUUCCCUAAUACAGUAUAACAACUAUUUACAUAACAUUUACAUUUUAUUAGUAUUAUAAGUAACCUGGAGAUGAUUUAUACUAUACAUGGGGACAUAUGUGGGCUAUAUACUGUGCCAUUUUAUAUAGGGACUUGAGC
RNAcentral lists this long non-coding RNA (737 nucleotides) under Marmota monax (woodchuck). The record is from RNAcentral. Lineage: Eukaryota; Metazoa; Chordata; Mammalia; Rodentia; Sciuridae.